Small nucleolar RNA from Homo sapiens (human), 74 nucleotides. The record is from RefSeq and is marked validated. Lineage: Eukaryota; Metazoa; Chordata; Mammalia; Primates; Hominidae.
UGUGAUGAUGAGAUCUGAAGGAAACAAACUUACUACUGAGUGCUGGAAUACUCAGUAAGGUGUUCUGAAGCACA